This 609-nucleotide long non-coding RNA is filed under the name Triticum aestivum (bread wheat). RNAcentral describes it as "long non-coding RNA (TAES_LNC004054)". Lineage: Eukaryota; Viridiplantae; Streptophyta; Magnoliopsida; Poales; Poaceae. The record is from RNAcentral.
AAAAACUAUUACAACUGUAUGAAUAAAGCUUCGUGUCAAAUGUAUUUUCUUAAAAGCUUGAGCUACUGGAACCCAUGGAAGAGGUUGUGGUGUCUUCCUACUUAUUCUGGAUUCAUUUUUGAAUGCUAGUUACGACACUCAUUUAUGUAUAUUUUACAAAUGGUGCAAGUGUUCAGGUGAGAGGAGCCAAGGUCAGAACCACUCUGAAGUCUGAACUAAGUAUGUGCAUAGACAAAAUGCAAAAAGGAAGAAAGAAACUUCCCUGAAUGUACUAAAAAAGCAAUCUCUAAAAUUUAAUGCCCAGCCACUUCGAAUUGCAGCACUCUCGGCACCACGCCCAGCACGCCGGAGAGACGCACGCCAAACCUAGCCGUCGUCGGACAUCGUAUGCCCGUUGGGUUGAUGUUGCUGCAUGGAACGCUCCAUUUGUAGCUUGAACUGCUGAAAAGAAGCACCAUCAGCUAGCUACAACAGAGGUGAAGAAGUAGCAGCAGAGGCUGUUCGGUAAGUGGUGUACUGACAGAGAAAUUGAUACGCCAGCCUAAGAAACUUAACUCAAGUUUGUACAUCCUGGGUUUUUUUCAAAGCCUCCUUGUUUGUAAGGUGUAG